GGGNNCUACUGAGCGNUCGCUCAUCAACCCUGUGAACAUACCUAUAACGUUGCCUCGGCGGGAACAGACGGCCCCGUAACACGGGCCGCCCCCGCCAGAGGACCCCCUAACUCUGUUUCUAUAAUGUUUCUUCUGAGUAAACAAGCAAAUAAAUUAAAACUUUCAACAACGGAUCUCUUGGCUCUGGCAUCGAUGAAGAACGCAGCGAAAUGCGAUAAGUAAUGUGAAUUGCAGAAUUCAGUGAAUCAUCGAAUCUUUGAACGCACAUUGCGCCCGCCAGUAUUCUGGCGGGCAUGCCUGUUCGAGCGUCAUUACAACCCUCAGGCCCCCGGGCCUGGCGUUGGGGAUCGGCGGAAGCCCCCUGCGGGCACAACGCCGUCCCCCAAAUACAGUGGCGGUCCCGCCGCAGCUUCCAUUGCGUAGUAGCUAACACCUCGCAACUGGAGAGCGGCGCGGCCACGCCGUAAAACACCCAACUUCUGAAUGUUGACCUCGAAUCAGGUAGGAAUACCCGCUGAACUUAAGCAUAUCAAAAGCCGAGAGGAAA
This 547-nucleotide ribosomal RNA is filed under the name Fusarium solani. RNAcentral's name for it is "eukaryotic LSU rRNA". The stretch from base 158 to 311 matches the Rfam family "5.8S ribosomal RNA". Lineage: Eukaryota; Fungi; Ascomycota; Sordariomycetes; Hypocreales; Nectriaceae. The record is from RNAcentral.